UCGAACGAACUCUGGUAUUGAUUGGUGCUUGCAUCAUGAUUUACAUUUGAGUGAGUGGCGAACUGGUGAGUAACACGUGGGAAACCUGCCCAGAAGCGGGGGAUAACACCUGGAAACAGAUGCUAAUACCGCAUAACAACUUGGACCGCAUGGUCCGAGCUUGAAAGAUGGCUUCGGCUAUCACUUUUGGAUGGUCCCGCGGCGUAUUAGCUAGAUGGUGGGGUAACGGCUCACCAUGGCAAUGAUACGUAGCCGACCUGAGAGGGUAAUCGGCCACAUUGGGACUGAGACACGGCCCAAACUCCUACGGGAGGCAGCAGUAGGGAAUCUUCCACAAUGGACGAAAGUCUGAUGGAGCAACGCCGCGUGAGUGAAGAAGGGUUUCGGCUCGUAAAACUCUGUUGUUAAAGAAGAACAUAUCUGAGAGUAACUGUUCAGGUAUUGACGGUAUUUAACCAGAAAGCCACGGCUAACUACGUGCCAGCAGCCGCGGUAAUACGUAGGUGGCAAGCGUUGUCCGGAUUUAUUGGGCGUAAAGCGAGCGCAGGCGGUUUUUUAAGUCUGAUGUGAAAGCCUUCGGCUCAACCGAAGAAGUGCAUCGGAAACUGGGAAACUUGAGUGCAGAAGAGGACAGUGGAACUCCAUGUGUAGCGGUGAAAUGCGUAGAUAUAUGGAAGAACACCAGUGGCGAAGGCGGCUGUCUGGUCUGUAACUGACGCUGAGGCUCGAAAGUAUGGGUAGCAAACAGGAUUAGAUACCCUGGUAGUCCAUACCGUAAACGAUGAAUGCUAAGUGUUGGAGGGUUUCCGCCCUUCAGUGCUGCAGCUAACGCAUUAAGCAUUCCGCCUGGGGAGUACGGCCGCAAGGCUGAAACUCAAAGGAAUUGACGGGGGCCCGCACAAGCGGUGGAGCAUGUGGUUUAAUUCGAAGCUACGCGAAGAACCUUACCAGGUCUUGACAUACUAUGCAAAUCUAAGAGAUUAGACGUUCCCUUCGGGGACAUGGAUACAGGUGGUGCAUGGUUGUCGUCAGCUCGUGUCGUGAGAUGUUGGGUUAAGUCCCGCAACGAGCGCAACCCUUAUUAUCAGUUGCCAGCAUUAAGUUGGGCACUCUGGUGAGACUGCCGGUGACAAACCGGAGGAAGGUGGGGAUGACGUCAAAUCAUCAUGCCCCUUAUGACCUGGGCUACACACGUGCUACAAUGGAUGGUACAACGAGUUGCGAACUCGCGAGAGUAAGCUAAUCUCUUAAAGCCAUUCUCAGUUCGGAUUGUAGGCUGCAACUCGCCUACAUGAAGUCGGAAUCGCUAGUAAUCGCGGAUCAGCAUGCCGCGGUGAAUACGUUCCCGGGCCUUGUACACACCGCCCGUCACACCAUGAGAGUUUGUAACACCCAAAGUCGGUGGGGUAACCUUUUAGGAACCAGC
This 1426-nucleotide ribosomal RNA is filed under the name Lactiplantibacillus plantarum. Its description in RNAcentral is "bacterial SSU rRNA". It matches the Rfam family "Bacterial small subunit ribosomal RNA". Lineage: Bacteria; Bacillati; Bacillota; Bacilli; Lactobacillales; Lactobacillaceae. The record is from RNAcentral.